CUUGCUCUGUGUUGAGUUUGGUCAUAUUUUUGGACCACUCUCAAGAGAUGUUUCAUGCCUCUAAGAUCAGAAUUCACUUGCACCCACCAUAUAAAAGCCGACUCUCACACUGAGAAGUCGCGCACGACAUGCUUUCUCCAUCCACCCAAAAUUUCGCCAACUUUUACACUGAGGGUUGCGCACAUGUAUCCACCAAAUAAAAAUGCCAAUAUCUCACCCUGAGAAUUGUGCAUUCAUAAACAUUCCUUGCAUUUGUUAUCAUAAAGCUCUCUUUCGUUUUCAUCAAGAAUCAUAGGAAUGGGCUAUAUAUAUAAAAAAAAAUUAUGAGAAACAACCAAAGGGGCA
This 345-nucleotide long non-coding RNA is filed under the name Sorghum bicolor (sorghum). Its description in RNAcentral is "long non-coding RNA (SBIC_LNC015921)". The record is from RNAcentral. Lineage: Eukaryota; Viridiplantae; Streptophyta; Magnoliopsida; Poales; Poaceae.